This 245-nucleotide ribosomal RNA is filed under the name uncultured Prevotella sp. Its description in RNAcentral is "partial 16S ribosomal RNA". It matches the Rfam family "Bacterial small subunit ribosomal RNA", at positions 524 to 768 of the family's 1533-position model. Lineage: Bacteria; Pseudomonadati; Bacteroidota; Bacteroidia; Bacteroidales; Prevotellaceae. The record is from RNAcentral.
UACGGAAGGUCCGGGCGUUAUCCGGAUUUAUUGGGUUUAAAGGGAGCGUAGGCCGGAUGGUAAGCGUGUUGUGAAAUGUACGGGCUCAACCUGUGAAUUGCAGCGCGGACUGCCGUCCUUGAGUAGGCGGAAAGCUGGCGGAAUUCGUUGUGUAGCGGUGAAAUGCUUAGAUAUGACGAAGAACUCCGAUUGCGAAGGCAGCUGGCUGCAGCCUCACUGACGCUGAAGCUCGAAAGCGUGGGUAU